RNAcentral lists this ribosomal RNA (462 nucleotides) under Triticum aestivum (bread wheat). RNAcentral's name for it is "partial small subunit ribosomal RNA". Lineage: Eukaryota; Viridiplantae; Streptophyta; Magnoliopsida; Poales; Poaceae. The record is from RNAcentral.
GCUCCAAGAUGGGUCCCACCCCCGGAGGGUUUUGUGAAGAUCUAUGUAGACGCUGGAGUUUCGGAGGGAACAAACACUGGAACAACGACAGCUUUAUGUCGUGAUCGGGAUGGAACUUAUUUGGGUUCCUCCAUGCUGGUAAUUGAGGGGCUGACGGAUCCAACUACACUAGAGGCAAUAGCAUGUAGAGAGGGCAUGGCUUUGGCUUUGGACCUGGGAACGAAUCAUAUACAGAUUGCUUCAGACUGUAAGCAGGUAGUAAAUCAUAUCCAUCAGAGAGCUGGGGCGAUCAUGGCGUUAUCAUCAAAGAGAUCUUACAAACUUCCACCUUAUUCACGACUUGUAAUUUUUCCUUUGAACCUCGGGAGUCGAACUAUGAGGCUCAUAGACUUGCUAGAUUUGAUAUUUCACUUCCUGCUGGAAGGCAUUUGUGGUUGGGUAUCCAGCAUGACCCAAUUGUAA